Molecule: ribosomal RNA, 377 nt
Filed under: uncultured eukaryote
Lineage: Eukaryota
Description: partial 18S ribosomal RNA
Rfam family: Eukaryotic small subunit ribosomal RNA
Source: RNAcentral
CAAUAGCGUAUAUUUAAGUUGCUGCAGUUAAAAAGCUCGUAGUUGGAUUUCGGGUGGGAAUGGCCGGUCCGCCGUUUCGGUGUGCACUUGCUACGCCCACCUUGCUGCCGGGGACGUGCUCUUGAGUUCACGCUCGGGACACGGAGUCGGCGAGGUUACUUUGAGUAAAUUAGAGUGUUCAAAGCAGGCCUACGCUCUGAAUACAUUAGCAUGGAAUAACACGAUAGGACUCUGGCCUAUCUUGUUGGUCUGUAGGACCGGAGUAAUGAUUAAGAGGGACAGUCGGGGGCAUUCGUAUUUCAUUGUCAGAGGUGAAAUUCUUGGAUUUACGGAAGACGAACUACUGCGAAAGCAUUUACCAAGGAUGUUUUCAUUAA